This 320-nucleotide unclassified non-coding RNA is filed under the name plant metagenome. RNAcentral's name for it is "partial contains 5.8S ribosomal RNA, internal transcribed spacer 2, and large subunit ribosomal RNA". The stretch from base 1 to 105 matches the Rfam family "5.8S ribosomal RNA", at positions 50 to 154 of the family's 154-position model. The record is from RNAcentral.
GAAAUGCGAUAAGUAAUGUGAAUUGCAGAAUUCAGUGAAUCAUCGAAUCUUUGAACGCACAUUGUGCCCGCCAGUAUUCUGGCGGGCAUGCCUGUUCGAGCGUCAUUACAACCCUCAGGCCCCCGGGCCUGGCGUUGGGGAUCGGCGGAAGCCCCCUGCGGGCACAACGCCGUCCCCCAAAUACAGUGGCGGUCCCGCCGCAGCUUCCAUUGCGUAGUAGCUAACACCUCGCAACUGGAGAGCGGCGCGGCCACGCCGUAAAACACCCAACUUCUGAAUGUUGACCUCGAAUCAGGUAGGAAUACCCGCUGAACUUAAGC